CCGUGGGCCACCCGCUCCCACCGGCGGGCGCUCAUCUGAAAGGAUGGGAGUA
Hyphomonadaceae bacterium is the source of this 52-nucleotide non-coding RNA. NCBI's taxonomy places the organism in Bacteria, Pseudomonadati, Pseudomonadota, Alphaproteobacteria, Hyphomonadales, Hyphomonadaceae. The record is from Rfam.